Molecule: ribosomal RNA, 227 nt
Filed under: uncultured bacterium
Lineage: Bacteria
Description: partial 16S ribosomal RNA
Rfam family: Bacterial small subunit ribosomal RNA
Source: RNAcentral
AGUACAAGUUGGGCAACUUGCCCGAAAGUGGGGGAUAGCUCCGAGAAAUCGGAAUUAAUACCGCAUGUGGACCGACUGGCUUCGGCCGGUCUGUCUAAAGCAGCAAUGCGCUUUCGGAUGGGCCCGACCCCCAUUAGCUUGUUGGUGAGGUAACGGCUCACCAAGGCUACGAUGGGUAGCUGGUCUGAGAGGAUGGUCAGCAACACGAGGACUGAGAUACGGCCUCG